Molecule: transfer-messenger RNA, 416 nt
Filed under: Candidatus Kaiserbacteria bacterium
Lineage: Bacteria; Candidatus Kaiseribacteriota
Rfam family: transfer-messenger RNA
About the family: Bacterial tmRNA, also known as 10Sa RNA or SsrA, is named for its dual tRNA and mRNA-like properties. Its role is to liberate the mRNA from a stalled ribosome.
Source: RNAcentral
GGGGAUGAUCGGCUUCGACAAUGUCGUUAGCAUAUGUGUGUGCAGGGUAGCAGACCAGAACUGCUCUAAAAGCUGGAAAAUUGUAGAUGCAAAAAAAUCUGCACUCGGAAUGCUUUCACCUUUUCAGAUGAAAGACUUCCAGUUCGCUUACGCCCGAGCUUAAUCCGGCCUAAGCGACCAUCAACAAAUUUGGUGUCCGAUACAAUUUGCUUGAUGUCAUAAACAUCGGUCUAGGAAGUAAGAUUGUUUUGACUUACAACUGAAAUAAAAAACUAGACCUUGUAUGAUUUUGUUUGUUUUAUACAUACAAUGUUUAAAUCUGCCACCUCGGUGGCAGAAAAAAAUAAACUAGACCUUCGUAGAGUCACAUAUAAGCCCUUCAUUGAACGCGGGUUCGAUUCCCGCCAUCUCCACUA